UGCAAAGUGAAGUAAUUGGUAACUUGUGGGGCUCAUGAUCCCAAAUUAUAGGUUCAAAUCCUGUCUUUGCAA
This 72-nucleotide transfer RNA is filed under the name Sphingobacteriaceae bacterium. RNAcentral describes it as "tRNA-Met". It matches the Rfam family "tRNA". From Rfam's summary of the family: Transfer RNA (tRNA) molecules are approximately 80 nucleotides in length. Their secondary structure includes four short double-helical elements and three loops (D, anti-codon, and T loops). Lineage: Bacteria; Pseudomonadati; Bacteroidota; Sphingobacteriia; Sphingobacteriales; Sphingobacteriaceae. The record is from RNAcentral.